This 73-nucleotide transfer RNA is filed under the name Podarcis lilfordi (Lilford's wall lizard). Its description in RNAcentral is "tRNA.Lys". The stretch from base 8 to 65 matches the Rfam family "tRNA", at positions 8 to 63 of the family's 71-position model. From Rfam's summary of the family: Transfer RNA (tRNA) molecules are approximately 80 nucleotides in length. Their secondary structure includes four short double-helical elements and three loops (D, anti-codon, and T loops). Further hydrogen bonds mediate the characteristic L-shaped molecular structure. tRNAs have two regions of fundamental functional importance: the anti-codon, which is responsible for specific mRNA codon recognition, and the 3' end, to which the tRNAs corresponding amino acid is attached (by aminoacyl-tRNA synthetases). tRNAs cope with the degeneracy of the genetic code in two manners: having more than one tRNA (with a specific anti-codon) for a particular amino acid; and 'wobble' base-pairing, i.e. permitting non-standard base-pairing at the 3rd anti-codon position. Lineage: Eukaryota; Metazoa; Chordata; Lepidosauria; Squamata; Lacertidae. The record is from RNAcentral.
GUUGGGAUAGCUCAGUCGGUAGAGCUUGAGACUCUUAAUCUUAGGGUGAUGGGUUCAAGGCCCACAUUGGGCA